Non-coding RNA from Crotalus tigris (Tiger rattlesnake), 486 nucleotides. Lineage: Eukaryota; Metazoa; Chordata; Lepidosauria; Squamata; Viperidae. The record is from the annotation of a RefSeq genome assembly.
UUAGCCUCAAGAAAGUCAAGCGGAAUGGUAGAUAUGCUUCUUUGGGCUUUCCUCCUGUUCCUUCUUCAUCUUUCAGGCUGCUACUCAGAGGUGAAGUUGGUGGAGACUGGAGGAGGUGUUGUAGUCCCUGGAGGUUCCCUCCGCCUAAUCUGUAAAGCAUCUGGAUUCAACUUUACUGGCUAUACAAUGCACUGGAUCCGUCAGUCUCCAGGAAAAGGAUUGGAGUGGGUGGCUGGUGUAAGCCAACCAGAAGGAACUAAACAAUGGUAUAACUCUAAAGUGGAGGGAAGAUUCACUGUCUCUAGGGACAAUUCACAGACUUCAGCUUAUCUCCAGAUGAACAACUUGAAGCCUGAAGACUCUGCCUUGUAUUAUUGUGCAAGGCGCACAGUGAUUCCAUCUGCUUUCCUCCUUGUACAAUUUCUCUAUGGGUCUCUUGCAAGGAGAAGCCGAGAGCAAAAAGCAGAAACAUUCAGCCUUCUUUAA